RNAcentral lists this ribosomal RNA (261 nucleotides) under uncultured bacterium. RNAcentral describes it as "partial 16S ribosomal RNA". It matches the Rfam family "Bacterial small subunit ribosomal RNA", at positions 793 to 1055 of the family's 1533-position model. The record is from RNAcentral.
GUCCACGCUGUAAACGAUGUCUACUAGCCGUUGGGCGACUUGAUCGCUUAGUGGCGCAGUUAACGCGAUAAGUAGACCGCCUGGGGAGUACGGCCGCAAGGUUAAACUCAAAUGAAUUGACGGGGCCCGCACAAGCGGUGGAGCAUGUGGUUUAAUUCGAUGCAACGCGAAGAACCUUACCAGGUCUUGACAUCCUAGGAAUCCUGCAGAGAUGCGGGAGUGCCUUCGGGAAUCUAGAGACAGGUGCUGCAUGGCUGUCGU